UACUUCCAUUACUGUCGGUCAUUGCGUUUUGAUGAUAAACCAGAUUAUGCUUACCUGAGAAGGCUUUUCCGUGAUCUUUUUAUUCGUGAAGGUUUGAACUUUACUUACUGUUCGAUUGGACAAUUUUGAAAUAUCAGCAAUCUCAGAUUGCCAAUCCUCCUACUCGUGUACUUGGCCCUGUCGCUGGACCAAGCUCUGGCAUNGCCUCGUACUGGUGCUAACGUUGACAAGCAAUCAGGAGGGGAAGAGGGUAGACCUGGUUGGCCUUCAACAGAUUCCUCUCGAAGGAGAAACUCUGGUCCAAUUACAAGUUCUGUAAACAUAUUUAAGCAAAAAGGUCCUGUUGCAAAUGAUCUAUCCUCAUCCAAAGAUGCUGCAUUAUCCAGCUCAAAUUUUCUGCGGUCUGGUGGAUCAUCAAGGCGACCUGCCUUCUCUAGCAGUCGUGAAGUCGUUCUUGUUGGGAGUGACUCUUCUCGCACGAUAGAUGUGAGCUCUGCAGUCAAAAUUUCCAGUGUUCAAAGAGGCUUGCCUAUUGUAUCUUCAGAGCAGAAGCAUCCCUCUUCUGGUAGAAACUCCUUAAAUAUAAAGACAUUUGAAUCAACUCUUAGGGGCAUUGAGAGCCUGCACUUCAACAAUGAAGAAAGAGUACAAUAUUAGUGAAAUGCCAACCUCAGUUCUUUCCCACUGUAAAUUUACAAUCAGAUACUGUUAUGCACACGAAAGUGGAAUGUGGUGUUAUGCGUCUCUAUAUCAUCUAGUUGCAACGCAUAUGUCUUUUUUUGUACAUCAGCAGACAAUACAGUUGAGAUACCCUCUGAUUGGAAUAUGUAUAGCAACACACUGCGAGCAUCUUAACGGUUCCAAAUUUGUAAUGGAACAUUAGAGCUUACAUUCUGCUACUGUACAUGCAUUUCUGAAUUUAAUGGACCAAACAGCAUUGCAAAUAAGCAGCAUCACUGUUUAGCAUUGCUGAUGGACUGUAAGGUUUUCAAAUUAGCCAGUAUGCCCAUUACUAUUAGAUUUCGAGUAUACCCUCUUUAAUUGUUUCAAUAUUCAAAAUUUUCCG
Molecule: unclassified non-coding RNA, 1066 nt
Filed under: Hevea brasiliensis (rubber tree)
Lineage: Eukaryota; Viridiplantae; Streptophyta; Magnoliopsida; Malpighiales; Euphorbiaceae
Source: RNAcentral